AAUAGAUACCCAGGUAGUCCAUGCCGUAAACGUUGGGAACUAGAUGUAGGGCCUGUUCCACGGGUUCUGUGUCGUAGCUAACGCAUUAAGUUCCCCGCCUGGGGAGUACGGCCGCAAGGCUAAAACUCAAAGGAAUUGACGGGGGCCCGCACAAGCGGCGGAGCAUGCGGAUUAAUUCGAUGCAACGCGAAGAACCUUACCAAGGCUUGACAUAUAGCAGAACACCGUAGAAAUACGGGACUCUUUGGACACUGUUAUACAGGUGGUGCAUGGUUGUCGUCAGCUCGUGUCGUGAGAUGUUCGGUUAAGUCCGGCAACGAGCGCAACCCUCGUCCUAUGUUGCCAGCACGUUAUGGUGGGAACUCAUGGAUACUGCCGUGGUCAACACGGAGGAAGGUGGGGAUGACGUCAAAUCAUCAUGCCCCUUAUGUCUUGGGCUUCACGCAUGCUACAAUGGCCGAUACAAUGGGCUGCGAUACCGCGAGGUGGAGCGAAUCCCAAAAAGUCGGUCUCAGUUCGGAUUGGGGUCUGC
RNAcentral lists this ribosomal RNA (532 nucleotides) under uncultured bacterium. Its description in RNAcentral is "bacterial SSU rRNA". It matches the Rfam family "Bacterial small subunit ribosomal RNA", at positions 777 to 1308 of the family's 1533-position model. The record is from RNAcentral.